RNAcentral lists this transfer RNA (69 nucleotides) under Gnathopogon strigatus (Manchurian gudgeon). RNAcentral describes it as "tRNA-Met". It matches the Rfam family "tRNA". Rfam says of the family: Transfer RNA (tRNA) molecules are approximately 80 nucleotides in length. Their secondary structure includes four short double-helical elements and three loops (D, anti-codon, and T loops). The record is from RNAcentral. Lineage: Eukaryota; Metazoa; Chordata; Actinopteri; Cypriniformes; Gobionidae.
GAUUGAGUCAGCUAAUUAAGCUUUCGGGCCCAUACCCCGAACAUGACGGUUAAAGUCCCUCCUCCAUCA